This 85-nucleotide transfer RNA is filed under the name Felis catus (domestic cat). It matches the Rfam family "tRNA". Rfam says of the family: Transfer RNA (tRNA) molecules are approximately 80 nucleotides in length. Their secondary structure includes four short double-helical elements and three loops (D, anti-codon, and T loops). Lineage: Eukaryota; Metazoa; Chordata; Mammalia; Carnivora; Felidae. The record is from Rfam by way of RNAcentral.
GCCCGGCUGGCUCAGUCGGUUAAGCAUCUGACUUCGGCUCAGGUCACGAUCUCACGGUUCGUGAGUUCGAGCCCCUCGUUGGGCU